GGGGCCUUCAGCGCUCCUGUGUCCUCCUCACCGCCCCGUGCUCGUGGGGCUCCGGCCACGCUCAGCUCCGCCCCCACUGCUGGCCCCGCCCCUGCCUGUGACCUUGGGUAGAUCAUCUCAAGGACAACACGGGACCCACUCAGCGCUCCAGCUUGUUCAAAAUGCGUUGUAGAGCAGCAGAGAGAACUCGCAACAUCAGCAACGCGCUUGGCCCAGGAGCUGCCAGUGCAGGGGUGUGUCAGGAAGUUUGGCGAAGGAGAUGAGAGUCUUGGCAAGGAGCGCGGUGGCUGGCCGUCGGAAGCGGACAACGGCCGACUGAGAGCCAACGUCGAGGCUGAUCCUCCUACAACUGCACGAGAAGCUGGCCACUCUGGUCUCCGGGCAUUCGAAGCACGUUGAAAAGAAAAACAUUGCUCGAUCGGAUCCUGGUGUGACAUCAUCGUUUUGAAGUAUCGUCUUCUCUUACUCUACAAAACACCAAAAAACAUUGCUCAAUGGGAUCCUGAUGUGCAACAAAAUGUGGAUUUUAUGGCAACUGGUGGCAACCAGCUCAGCGGUUGGAUGGAGAAGAAGCUCCAAAGCGCUUCCCAAAGCCAAACUUGCACCAAAAAAGGUCAUGGUCACCGUUUGGUGGUCUGCUGCCCAUCUGAUCCCCUACAGCUCUCUGAAUCCCAGGGAAACAUUACAUCUGAGAAGUGCGCUCAGUAAACCAAUGAGAUGCACUGAAACCUGCGAUGCCUGCAGCAGGCAUUCGUCAGCAGCGGGGCGCAGUCCUUUCCCACGACUGCCUGCCCCACGUGGCACAGCCAACGCUUCAGAAGCUGAGCGAAUCGGGCUGCGAAGUUCUGCCUCAUCCACCAUAUUCACAUGACCUCCCGCCAACCGACUACCACUUCUUCAAGCACCGCGACCACUUUUUGCAGGGAAAACACUUCUGCGACCAGCAGGAGGCAGACGAUGCUUUCCUAGAGUUCAUCAGGUCUCCAGGCACGGAUUUGUACACUACAGGAAUAAACAAACUUACUUCUUCUUGGCAAGAAUGUGUUGAUUAUAAUGGUUCCUAUUUUGAUUAAUAAAGAUAUGUUUGGGCCUAAUUACAGUGAUUUAAAAUUCACGGUCUGAAACCACAGGUAGGCUUGAACCAACCUGGACAGAAGAGCUGCCAGACCAAGUCCAGGCUCCACUCUGACCCCCAGUCUCGUCGUCUGCAAAGCAGAGAAGACACUGACUCUCCAUGCAGCAACCCCCUCGGAAAGCGGAUCCCUUCCUGGAAGGGGUCGGGACACACACUCCUUCUCCUCCCAGGACCCCCAGCUUGCUCCUGGACCAGCAUUAGAGAGGAAGGGAGGGUUUAGAGCAAGGAGACUGCUUGUAGGUUACAGUUCUGCAUAAUGUCGGUAUGCAUUCGUCCAAAUCCACAGGACGUCCAACACCAGGAGUGAACUGUGAUGUAAGCCAUGGGCUUUGGGUGAUGAAGACAUGUCAGUGGAGGCUCACCAGUUGUAAGAAAUAUCCCAUCUGGAGGCGGAUGUUAGUGGGAUAGUGGGGGAGGCUGGGCAUGCAGGUGGAGGCGUACAUGGGAAUUGUGUGCACCUUCCACUCGAUUUUGUCUUAAACCUAAAAUUGCUCUAAAAAGUAAAGUCUUAAUUACAAAAAAGAGGAUGAAGAGGAGGAGGAGGAGGGAGACUGGCAGGGCAGGUGGGUGCACCAUCCCCAGCCUCUCCCCGCCCAGGAGGC
Molecule: long non-coding RNA, 1737 nt
Organism: Bos taurus (domestic cattle)
Lineage: Eukaryota; Metazoa; Chordata; Mammalia; Artiodactyla; Bovidae
Source: Ensembl